Molecule: ribosomal RNA, 918 nt
Filed under: uncultured Halobacteriales archaeon
Lineage: Archaea; Methanobacteriati; Methanobacteriota; Halobacteria; Halobacteriales
Description: bacterial SSU rRNA
Rfam family: Archaeal small subunit ribosomal RNA
Source: RNAcentral
CUGGUUGAUCCUGCCGGAGGCCAUUGCUAUCGGAGUCCGACUUAGCCAUGCUAGUUGUGCGAGUUUAGACUCGCAGCAGAUAGCUCAGUAACACGUGGCCAAGCUACCCUGCAGACACGGACAACCUCGGGAAACUGAGGCUAAUCCGCGAUACCGAUCCCAGGCUGGAACAGCCGGGAUCAUCAAACGCUCCGGCGCUGCAGGAUGCGGCUGCGGCCGAUUAGGUAGACGGUGGGGUAACGGCCCACCGUGCCGAUAAUCGGUACGGGUUGUGAGAGCAAGAGCCCGGAGACGGAAUCUGAGACAAGAUUCCGGGCCCUACGGGGCGCAGCAGGCGCGAAACCUUUACACUGCACGCAAGUGCGAUAAGGGGACUCCGAGUGCGAGGGCAUAUAGUCCUCGCUUUUGAGAACCGUAAGGCGGUUCUCGAAUAAGAGCUGGGCAAGACCGGUGCCAGCCGCCGCGGUAAUACCGGGCAGCUCAAGUGAUGGCCAAUCUUAUUGGGCCUAAAGCGUCCGUAGCUGGCCGUGAAAGUUCGUCGGGAAAUCCAUCCGCCUCAACGGAUGGGCGUCCGGCGAAAACUUCACGGGCUUGGACCGGAAGGCUCGGGGGUACGCCUGGGGUAGGAGUGAAAUCCUGUAAUCCUGGACGGACCGCCGAUGGCGAAAGCACCUCGAGAAGACGGAUCCGACAGUGAGGGACGAAAGCUAGGGUCUCGAACCGGAUUAGAUACCCGGGUAGUCCUAGCCGUAAACAAUGUUCACUAGGUGUGGCACAGGCUACGAGCCUGUGCUGUGCCGUAGGGAAGCCGAGAAGUGAACCGCCUGGGAAGUACGUCCGCAAGGAUGAAACUUAAAGGAAUUGGCGGGGGAGCACUACAACCGGAGGAGCCUGCGGUUUAAUUGGAUUCAACGCCGG